UCCUCUCUAAACUUUUGCGUAAAAGAAGGAAUUUUAAUUCAACAUCGAGGUCAUAAACUCACUUGUCAAUUUGAUCUUUCUAAGUGAAUUAAGCUGUUAUCCCUAAAGUAACUUAUUUCUUUUUUAGAAAUUCUAGGUAUUAAAACUAGUUAGUUUACUUUUUUAAAAAAAGAGUUUUUUCUCACCGCCCCAGCGAAAUACUUUUCCUUUUUAUUCUUUAAGAAAAAAUAUAAAGUUUUAUAGGGUCUUCUUGUCUAAAAGAAUUAUUUUAGCCUUUUUACUAAAAAGUAAAAUUCAUUUUUUAAAAUAAAAAGAAAUUCUCUUGGUUUACUCUUUCAUUCCAGUCUCAAAUUAAAAGA
RNAcentral lists this ribosomal RNA (359 nucleotides) under Buthus occitanus occitanus. Its description in RNAcentral is "partial 16S ribosomal RNA". The record is from RNAcentral. Lineage: Eukaryota; Metazoa; Arthropoda; Arachnida; Scorpiones; Buthidae.